This 1061-nucleotide ribosomal RNA is filed under the name Salmonella enterica. RNAcentral's name for it is "partial 23S ribosomal RNA". It matches the Rfam family "Bacterial large subunit ribosomal RNA", at positions 1292 to 2336 of the family's 2925-position model. Lineage: Bacteria; Pseudomonadati; Pseudomonadota; Gammaproteobacteria; Enterobacterales; Enterobacteriaceae. The record is from RNAcentral. RNAcentral also lists the same sequence under 1 other name.
GAAUGCUGACAUAAGUAACGAUAAAGCGGGUGAAAAGCCCGCUCGCCGGAAGACCAAGGGUUCCUGUCCAACGUUAAUCGGGGCAGGGUGAGUCGACCCCUAAGGCGAGGCCGAAAGGCGUAGUCGAUGGGAAACGGGUUAAUAUUCCCGUACUUGGUGUUACUGCGAAGGGGGGACGGAGAAGGCUAUGUUGGCCGGGCGACGGUUGUCCCGGUUUAAGCGUGUAGGUGUGUGUUCCAGGUAAAUCCGGUUCACUUUAACACUGAGGCGUGACGACGAGGCACUACGGUGCUGAAGCAACAAAUGCCCUGCUUCCAGGAAAAGCCUCUAAGCAUCAGGUAACAUCAAAUCGUACCCCAAACCGACACAGGUGGUCAGGUAGAGAAUACCAAGGCGCUUGAGAGAACUCGGGUGAAGGAACUAGGCAAAAUGGUGCCGUAACUUCGGGAGAAGGCACGCUGACACGUAGGUGAAGUGAUUUACUCAUGGAGCUGAAGUCAGUCGAAGAUACCAGCUGGCUGCAACUGUUUAUUAAAAACACAGCACUGUGCAAACACGAAAGUGGACGUAUACGGUGUGACGCCUGCCCGGUGCCGGAAGGUUAAUUGAUGGGGUCAGCGCAAGCGAAGCUCCUGAUCGAAGCCCCGGUAAACGGCGGCCGUAACUAUAACGGUCCUAAGGUAGCGAAAUUCCUUGUCGGGUAAGUUCCGACCUGCACGAAUGGCGUAAUGAUGGCCAGGCUGUCUCCACCCGAGACUCAGUGAAAUUGAACUCGCUGUGAAGAUGCAGUGUACCCGCGGCAAGACGGAAAGACCCCGUGAACCUUUACUAUAGCUUGACACUGAACAUUGAGCCUUGAUGUGUAGGAUAGGUGGGAGGCUUUGAAGUGUGGACGCCAGUCUGCAUGGAGCCGACCUUGAAAUACCACCCUUUAAUGUUUGAUGUUCUAACGUGGACCCGUUACCCGGGUUGCGGACAGUGUCUGGUGGGUAGUUUGACUGGGGCGGUCUCCUCCUAAAGAGUAACGGAGGAGCACGAAGGUUGGCUAAUCCUGGUCGGAC